RNAcentral lists this ribosomal RNA (425 nucleotides) under uncultured bacterium. RNAcentral's name for it is "partial 16S ribosomal RNA". It matches the Rfam family "Bacterial small subunit ribosomal RNA", at positions 354 to 796 of the family's 1533-position model. The record is from RNAcentral.
GUGGGGAAUCUUGCGCAAUGGGCGAAAGCCUGACGCAGCCAUGCCGCGUGAAUGAUUAAGGUCUUAGGAUUGUAAAAUUCUUUCACCGGGGACGAUAAUGACGGUACCCGGAGAAGAAGCCCCGGCUAACUUCGUGCCAGCAGCCGCGGUAAUACGAAGGGGGCUAGCGUUGCUCGGAAUUACAGGGCGUAAAGGGCGCGUAGGCGGACAGUUUAGUCAGAGGUGAAAGCCCAGGGCGCAACCUUGGAAUUGCCUUUGAUACUGGCUGUCUUGAGUACGGGAGAGGUGAGUGGAACUCCGAGUGUAGAGGUGAAAUUCGUAGAUAUUCGGAAGAACACCAGUGGCGAAGGCGACUCACUGGCCCGUUACUGACGCUGAGGCGCGAAAGCGUGGGGAGCAAACAGGAUUAGAUACCCCAGUAGUCC